UACGUAGGGUGCAAGCGUUGUCCGGAAUUAUUGGGCGUAAAGAGUUCGUAGGCGGUUUGUCGCGUCCGUUGUGAAAACUCGGGGCUUAACCCCGGGCCUGCAGUGGGUACGGGCAGACUAGAGUGCGGUAGGGGAGACUGGAAUUCCUGGUGUAGCGGUGAAAUGCGCAGAUAUCAGGAGGAACACCGGUGGCGAAGGCGGGUCUCUGGGCCGUAACUGACGCUGAGGAGCGAAAGCAUGGGGAGCGAACAGG
This 253-nucleotide ribosomal RNA is filed under the name uncultured bacterium. RNAcentral's name for it is "partial 16S ribosomal RNA". It matches the Rfam family "Bacterial small subunit ribosomal RNA", at positions 524 to 776 of the family's 1533-position model. The record is from RNAcentral.